AGAUUGAACGCUGGCGGCAGGCCUAACACAUGCAAGUCGAGCGGUAGAGAGGUGCUUGCAUCUCUUGAGAGCGGCGGACGGGUGAGUAAUGCCUAGGAAUCUGCCUAGUGGUGGGGGAUAACGUUCGGAAACGGACGCUAAUACCGCAUACGUCCUACGGGAGAAAGCGGGGGACCUUCGGGCCUCGCGCCAUUAGAUGAGCCUAGGUCGGAUUAGCUAGUUGGUGAGGUAAUGGCUCACCAAGGCGACGAUCCGUAACUGGUCUGAGAGGAUGAUCAGUCACACUGGAACUGAGACACGGUCCAGACUCCUACGGGAGCAGCAGUGGGGAAUAGUUGGACAAAGUGGGACGAAAGGCC
This 359-nucleotide ribosomal RNA is filed under the name uncultured soil bacterium. Its description in RNAcentral is "bacterial SSU rRNA". It matches the Rfam family "Bacterial small subunit ribosomal RNA", at positions 26 to 384 of the family's 1533-position model. The record is from RNAcentral.